Caranx melampygus (bluefin trevally) is the source of this 75-nucleotide non-coding RNA. NCBI's taxonomy places the organism in Eukaryota, Metazoa, Chordata, Actinopteri, Carangiformes, Carangidae. The record is from the annotation of a GenBank genome assembly.
AGCACAGUGGUGCAAUGGUUAGCACCCUUUCCUCUCAGCAAGAAGGUUCUGGGUUAAAUUCCCGGGCUUGCGUUG